This 238-nucleotide long non-coding RNA is filed under the name Prunus persica (peach). Its description in RNAcentral is "long non-coding RNA (PPER_LNC007997)". Lineage: Eukaryota; Viridiplantae; Streptophyta; Magnoliopsida; Rosales; Rosaceae. The record is from RNAcentral.
UAGACACGCAGGGGACUCAAAUCGGAGUUGUAACGAAGAAAUUGCGAUGAAAAAUUGACAAGGACAAAAUUGUAAUUUUUGAAAAGUAUAUUUAUUUUAAAUUACCUUGGAUACCCAAGGUUGCCUUCGGAAUGCAUGUUGCCUUCGAAAUAAAAGUUACCUUCGAAUAAAUUGGUUGCCUUUGGUUUAAAGUUGCCUUCAGAUAUGAUGAUGUCCACAGACAUCCUAGUUGCCUUCG